This is a long non-coding RNA of Rhinolophus ferrumequinum (greater horseshoe bat), 319 nucleotides long. RefSeq lists it as uncharacterized. Lineage: Eukaryota; Metazoa; Chordata; Mammalia; Chiroptera; Rhinolophidae. The transcript is spliced from 3 exons. The record is from RefSeq and is a predicted model, not a curated record.
GCUCAAGGGAGCACAUCAAUGGGAUGAAAAUAGAGGAAUUUUCUACAACUGAAGAUAUGUUCUCCAGGAGAAGGACUCCUUGGGUUAACCGUGGUGACCCCUGUGUUCUGCCCUUCUUCAUGCUCACAAAUUGGGUUCCCUGACAAGCUGACACUGAGAUGGAAAUUAGCAUGACAAAAGUGUAUUGAAGAAUGUUGUCAGAUUCAUUUUCUAUAGUAAUGUGAAUAGUGGAUUCUGAGUGGAGCUGGACAGAAUCGAGUUCAACAAUGCCAUCUUUCGAUUGGGAAGUUUCUUGCCAAAAGCUCUUCAAGAAAAUGUA